UCAUGAGUAGUCUUUUUUUCA
Molecule: non-coding RNA, 21 nt
Filed under: Caenorhabditis elegans
Lineage: Eukaryota; Metazoa; Nematoda; Chromadorea; Rhabditida; Rhabditidae
Source: RNAcentral